GAUGAACGCUGACAGAAUGCUUAACACAUGCAAGUCAUUGGCGAAGCUGCGCUUGCGCAGUCUAGCCAAGGCGGACGGGUGAGUAACGCGUAAGGAACUUGCCCUGCAGACAGGGAUAACAGACGGAAACGACUGAUAACACCUGGUAUUGUCAGGCUGGCGCAUGCCGGCCUGAUGAAAGGAGACGCUGCAGGAGAGCCUUGCGUCCUAUUAGCUCGUUGGUGGGGUAACGGCCCACCAAGGCGAUGAUAGGUAGCAGGCCUGAGAGGGUGAACGGCCACAAGGGGACUGAGAGACGGCCCUUACUCCUACUGGAGGCAGCAGUGGAGAAUAUUGGACAAUGGGGGCAACCCUGAUCCAGCAAUUCUGUGUGCACGAAGAAGUUUUUCGGAUUGUAAAGUGCUUUCAGCAGGGAAGAACAAAGUGACGGUACCUGCAGAAGAAGCGACGGCUAAAUACGUG
RNAcentral lists this ribosomal RNA (462 nucleotides) under uncultured bacterium. RNAcentral describes it as "partial 16S ribosomal RNA". It matches the Rfam family "Bacterial small subunit ribosomal RNA", at positions 28 to 507 of the family's 1533-position model. The record is from RNAcentral.